RNAcentral lists this long non-coding RNA (454 nucleotides) under Monodelphis domestica (gray short-tailed opossum). Its description in RNAcentral is "lncRNA (ENSMODG00000041940.1)". Lineage: Eukaryota; Metazoa; Chordata; Mammalia; Didelphimorphia; Didelphidae. The record is from RNAcentral.
CCAUUGCAGUUUUUCUAAGAAUGCUUUACCUAAUGGCCUUUGCCAAAGAUAAUCUUGGUGGGAUUGACAAUCUGGUGAUUUGCUCAUGGGACCCAGCACUGAUCAGAGGGGCUAAUAGAAAAUAUCAGUGCCUCUUCUGCCCUGGAAGAUCCAAAUGAAACCAGAAAUCCUUCCUCUUUUGCCCCCGGAAUCCUGAGAAUCUUCAGGACAUCUGGUUCCUGUCAGUACCUUCCUGGACUCCAGCUCCUACUACACGAAAGUAGUAAGUUUUGUUGUUGUGUCAUUCAGUUGUUUUCAAUUGUGUCUCACUCUUUGUGACUCCAUUUGAGAAUUUCUUGACCAAGAUACUGGAGUGAUUUACCAUUUCCUUCUCCAGCUCAUGUUACAGAUGAGGAAACUGAGGCAAACAGGUUUAAGUGACUAUUCUAGGAUCAUACAGCUAGCAAGAGUCUGA